This 404-nucleotide ribosomal RNA is filed under the name uncultured prokaryote. RNAcentral describes it as "bacterial SSU rRNA". It matches the Rfam family "Bacterial small subunit ribosomal RNA", at positions 355 to 776 of the family's 1533-position model. RNAcentral also lists the same sequence under 1 other name. The record is from RNAcentral.
UGGGGGAUAUUGCACAAUGGGGGAAACCCUGAUGCAGCAAUGCCGCGUGAGGGAAGAAGGUCUUCGGAUUGUAAACCUAAGUAGACAGGGACGAUAAUAACGGUACCUGUAAAGUAAGCUCCGGCUAACUACGUGCCGGCAGCCGCGGUAAUACGUAGGGAGCGAGCGUUGUCCGGAAUUACUGGGUGUAAAGGGUGCGUAGGCGGGUUUGCAAGUCAGGUGUGAAAUCCCGGGGCUCAACUCCGGGGCUGCACUUGAAACUGUAGAUCUUGAGUGAAGUAGAGGCAAGCGGAAUUCCUAGUGUAGCGGUGAAAUGCGUAGAUAUUAGGAGGAACACCAGUGGCGAAGGCGGCUUGCUGGGCUUUAACUGACGCUGAGGCACGAAAGCAUGGGGAGCAAACAGG